Molecule: ribosomal RNA, 1617 nt
Filed under: Triticum aestivum (bread wheat)
Lineage: Eukaryota; Viridiplantae; Streptophyta; Magnoliopsida; Poales; Poaceae
Description: partial small subunit ribosomal RNA
Source: RNAcentral
AUGGAGCAGAUGUUCGGUAUGAUGAGAGGCCAACUGACUAAAAACCCAGAACAAGGUGUCACGAUUGGAGACUUCCAAAAGACUAGACCACCAACCUUUUCAACCGCCACAGACCCAUUAGCCGCAGAUGAUUGGUUGAUGGACAUAGAGCUAAAACUUAACACUGUGGGAUGCACGGACCAAGAAAAAGUUCGGUAUGCAUCCCAUCAGUUAAUUGGUCCUGCUGCCACAUGGUGGAGAAAUGUCCAAAUUAACAUACCCGAAAACCACAUAGUUACAUGGGACGAAUUUAAGAGGAGAUUUCGAGAUAACUACGUCCCGCAAAGUGCGAUGGAAAUAAAGAGGAAGGAAUUCCUGAACCUCAAGCAAGGGUCUAAGACCAUCGCAGAGUACCUAGAUGAGUUUAACUCACUAUCCUGCUAUGCACCAGAGGACACAAACACUGAGACCAAAAAGGUGUACCGGUUCGUAGAAGGAUUGAACCCGUCCAUACAACUUAUUAUAGCUCCUAUAAAAAUCACCGAGUUUCGGGAGCUAGUAGACCGAGUCAUUACAAUCGAGAACCGGCAAAUCGCCGUAGAGGAAGAGCGAAGGAAGAAAGCUAGGAUGGACCCGAGGUUUGCCAUGAGAAGUGGGAAUCGUCCUGUUGGCCUAGUCCGCGUGCCAAUGGUCGGGCCUGUCCGUCCUCCUUUCCGUCAAGCUCCUAGACCACCUUUUAUGCCUCCGAGAGCCCCUAUCAAAUGUCACGUGUGCUGUGGACCACACUUGGCUCGAGAUUGCCCAAAGGCGAGUGUUGUCUGUUUUGGUUGUGGACAAAAGGGACACUACAAAAAUCAGUGCCCAAGCAAGGGUCAACCACAAUCUGGCACAAAUGGAGCUGUCCCACCUCAAAAUAAGCGCGAGGCUUAUUCAGCACAAGUACACGGGAGUGCGUCCACUGCCAACCGCGGGCGUGGUCGUGGCAGUCUUGCACGUGGACCAUUCCGUCUGACACAUAUGGAUGUGGCACAAGUGGAGUCGGCUUCAGACAUAGUGACGGGCACUCGAUUGAAAUUUGGAACACUUAUGGAGAAGGAAUCAGAAUUAGUACUUACCAGUAGUAGCAGUAGGAUGUGGCUAGUCCACACCGUUAGCAACAGAGCCAUGCGACCGAGCAGCGCCGGUGAAGCCGCACACGCCCGACGCCCGUGGCUGCACGCCUCGUGCGUGUGGCUGCACUGGGGGAGGAUAGGGAGACGAGGAGAAUCUGUAGGUGUCCACCGUGUCGCCGGAGAUGCCCGGACGGGGCAGAUUGAGGCGGCGGCGGCCAUGCUCUGUUCUUGGGGAGAGAGAGAGGUGGGUGGCUGGUUCUGUUCUUGGGAUAGCAGAGAAGACGAGGAGAGGAACGAGCUGGGUUCAACGAGUAAAGUGGAUCCACUGAUUUGGCAAUUGGACCAGAUCAGGGGAGCUCAUGUUGGUGAAAGCAACCCAGGGAGGGUCGGCUUGGAUGGUGGGCUCCUCUACAUAGGGUAUCACAUUAGGACACAACCAACUGGCGCUUACUUCAAAAGCGGCGCAAACCGUACUGACCAUAGACCUGGAAUGGGACGGGCUGAACCAACUACCCAUGCCAAGUAG